UAUAACUUAGUUUAAUUAAAACAAUAAUUUGUGGAAUUAUAAACAAGCUAAUAAAA
This 56-nucleotide transfer RNA is filed under the name Parachtes ignavus. RNAcentral describes it as "tRNA-His". Lineage: Eukaryota; Metazoa; Arthropoda; Arachnida; Araneae; Dysderidae. The record is from RNAcentral.